UAAGCACGAUUAAAAUAAUCAUGCUCACACAUUUUCAGAACUCCGACCCCAACCUCCACGUGGUGCUGGCUGGAUUACAACUGUUGCACAAAAUGUGCAACAAUUGUAUACCAACUGGGGCGGGGGUGUUGUGUUUUUUGUUUGUCGUUUCAGAUCACCGUUUUGCUGUCGAUCAACGGAUACAUUUAUAGUUUUGCUUGCAGCAAAACAAAGUAACUUUUAUGUGCGACAUCGAACCACCAAUCCACCUCAGAACCAUGUCCUGUCGACACUCUCACCAAGGACGGUUUUAUAUGAUGUAUGCGGCGUGCGGAGUGAGUGGCAAACGAUACUUCAUCUAAGCUGCUCAUCGUUUUCUUCCUCUACUGCGGUAUCGGAAUCGUAACAUCGUAAAUAUGGCCCCAGCGACCUAUUUCUAUUGUUGCGACAAAUGUCAGCACGCGUCGUACGAAUCAUCGGUGGUAUGCUGCCCGAAGAACAAAGCUGUGAACCCACAGCCCGAUUGCACGAUCAGCACAGUUACAGCACAGCGUAAGGUUCAACAUCUGGGGCUCACGUUGAGCUAACAGCACGGCACCGUCAACGACACGAUCGGUCACCCAACGCCAUGCCCGUCGAAUGAUCCGCCCUCCACCGACCAAUCUGCUGACGCCGAUGGGCGCCCAAUCGCGCAACUCGGAAACAGAAUCUGCCUCAACCCCACGACCGUGACAUUACUAUUAGAUAAUAAAAGUGCGA
Molecule: long non-coding RNA, 738 nt
Organism: Anopheles arabiensis
Lineage: Eukaryota; Metazoa; Arthropoda; Insecta; Diptera; Culicidae
Exons: 4
Source: RefSeq, a predicted model, not a curated record